Molecule: ribosomal RNA, 505 nt
Filed under: uncultured organism
Description: SSU rRNA
Rfam family: Bacterial small subunit ribosomal RNA
Source: RNAcentral
GUGCCAGCAGCCGCGGUAAUACGUAGGGUGCGAGCGUUGUCCGGAAUUACUGGGCGUAAAGAGCUCGUAGGUGGUUUGUCGCGUUGUUCGUGAAAUCUCACGGCUUAACUGUGAGCGUGCGGGCGAUACGGGCAGACUAGAGUACUGCAGGGGAGACUGGAAUUCCUGGUGUAGCGGUGGAAUGCGCAGAUAUCAGGAGGAACACCGGUGGCGAAGGCGGGUCUCUGGGCAGUAACUGACGCUGAGGAGCGAAAGCGUGGGGAGCGAACAGGAUUAGAUACCCUGGUAGUCCACGCCGUAAACGGUGGGUACUAGGUGUGGGUUUCCUUCCUUGGGAUCCGUGCCGUAGCUAACGCAUUAAGUACCCCGCCUGGGGAGUACGGCCGCAAGGCUAAAACUCAAAGGAAUUGACGGGGGCCCGCACAAGCGGCGGAGCAUGUGGAUUAAUUCGAUGCAACGCGAAGAACCUUACCUGGGUUUGACAUGACAGGACGCCGGCAGAGAU